CUCGAGCUCGGCUCGAAUUAAUUUCAAGCCGAGCUUGAGCCUAGAUUUAGGCUCGAAAUUAAUUUCAAGCCAAAUUUGAGCUGACAUAAGCUCGCUCGAGCUCGGCUCGUUUCCACCCCUAACAGUACCGGAGCUCUGGUACUAUAGUUUCAUUUUCGAUCUUAAGAUGUUCAAAUCAAUGAUCUAUACUGUUAAAUAUGAUUUAAGAUAUAUAUGAAGUUCUUGGAAAUAAAAUUUAUUUUUUUCAACAUCAUUUACUUACUAGGUAAAUCAUGUCAAAAUGAACGGUGAAAAUUGAACAAUCUUUAAAAUUUGAAUAUAAGA
This 324-nucleotide long non-coding RNA is filed under the name Ananas comosus (pineapple). RNAcentral's name for it is "long non-coding RNA (ACOM_LNC009898)". Lineage: Eukaryota; Viridiplantae; Streptophyta; Magnoliopsida; Poales; Bromeliaceae. The record is from RNAcentral.